Molecule: long non-coding RNA, 376 nt
Organism: Neofelis nebulosa (Clouded leopard)
Lineage: Eukaryota; Metazoa; Chordata; Mammalia; Carnivora; Felidae
Exons: 2
Source: RefSeq, a predicted model, not a curated record
AUCUGUGUCCUGGAACUCUGUCCAUUUGUUUCAUUCCAGCUGCUGCUAUAGCAACCUCUGUGUAGAGCCUGAUCGAGGUCAUGUGGGCACUACCAGAUAGCCCUUCACCUCAUGCCCCAAAUUCCUAUCUCUCACUUCCCACCUCUAGUUUCCUCGUUGACAAGGAGUCAUACGAUCAUUGGUGUAUCCAUCUAUACAGGAAGGAUGUGGGAGGUUUCUGUUAAAGCCUGAAGUAACUGUGGAUGUACAACUGGAUGAGAGAAUCCCCUUCAGAUCUACAUCUUCAUAGGCAGAUUUGAAAAUCUUAAUUCAGGUGUCAGAAUGACUUGACAAAUGGUGGGCUGUAUUAUACCAAUAAACAUAAAAAAGCUUCUAA